UGUAAUUAGGUGUAUGUUGGCACAUUAAAUUUUGAGUUUAGGGGAAGUAAAUUAAAUUAUAAAUUA
This 66-nucleotide transfer RNA is filed under the name Bilobella aurantiaca. RNAcentral describes it as "tRNA-Gln". The record is from RNAcentral. Lineage: Eukaryota; Metazoa; Arthropoda; Collembola; Poduromorpha; Neanuridae.